Molecule: long non-coding RNA, 593 nt
Organism: Gossypium arboreum
Lineage: Eukaryota; Viridiplantae; Streptophyta; Magnoliopsida; Malvales; Malvaceae
Exons: 2
Source: RefSeq, a predicted model, not a curated record
GAAAGUUCCAAAAUUGAAUUUGGAACAGUAUUGAAGAACAUUGUUCUUGGGACAAUGGAAAAUCUCUGAGUUCCAUGGCAAAGUGUUGGACGCUUUUAUUCCUAACAAAAGGCAUCGAAAAGGUCUACGUUUUGGUUUAGUAAGAUUUGCAAGCAUUGUGGAUGAUAAGAGGGCAAUUAGUGAACUUAAUGGAUUCCGUAUAUAUGGAAGUAAAGUAAAUGUGAACUUAGCUCGCUUUAAGGGAAAAGUGGUGCACUGGAAGAAAGUUGAAAACGAUAAGCUAGGAGGUGAUGAUCCUAGAGAUGAAUUAGGAGGAGAAAACGGGAAAAAACAUUCUUGGGGGAACACCAAUGGGUGAAGAGAUCAGAUAGUCAAUGAGGAUUCUAGAGAAGCUAGUGAUAUAACGUAUCAAUCAGAGGGAAACGAAUCAAUACAGAUAUAGUUAUUUUUUAAUAAUUUUAUUAUAUAAAUAUUUAGAAAAUAGACAUCAUAGUCAAACUGAAAUUAGAAUUCCUUUUCCAACAAGGAAAAGGAUUGAGUCACCACCGACUCUAAUAAUAUUAUAUAAACCCAACAAGUCUCCUCAUUGUAAA